AGCAUAUCAAUAAGCGGAGGAAAAGAAACUAACAAGGAUUCCCCUAGUAACGGCGAGUGAAGCGGGAAGAGCUCAAAUUUAAAAUCUGGCAGUGUAUUCUGUCCGAGUUGUAGUCUAGAGAAGCAUCAUCCGUGCUGGACCAUGUACAAGUCUCUUGGAACAGAGCGUCAUAGAGGGUGAGAAUCCCGUCCUUGACAUGGACUCCCAGUGCUUUGUGUUGUGCUCUCAACGAGUCGAGUUGUUUGGGAAUGCAGCUCAAAAUGGGUGGUAAAUUCCAUCUAAAGCUAAAUAUUGGCGAGAGACCGAUAGCGAACAAGUACCGUGAGGGAAAGAUGAAAAGCACUUUGGAGAGAGAGUUAAACAGUACGUGAAAUUGUUGAAAUGGAAACGCUUGAAGUCAGUNNCGUUCUCUGGGAUUCAGCCUUGCUUUUGCUUGGUGCAUUUCCUAGUCUACGGGCCAGCAUGAAUUUUGACCAAUGGAAAAAGCUGGGGGAAUGUGGCACUUCGGGUGUGUUAUAGCCCCUUGUCACAUACGUUGGUUGGGAUUGAGGUCUUAGUGCACGCUUCGGUUGUGCUUUGAUGCUGGCGUAAUGGCUUUAAACGACCCGUCUUGAAACACGGACCAAGGAGUCUAACAUGUCUGCGAGUGUUUGGGUGCAAAACCCGAGCGCGUAAUGAAAGUGAUAGUUGGGAACCUUUUNNGAGGGGCACCGACGCCCGGACCAGACCUUCUGUGACGGAUCCGAGGUAGAGCAUAUAUGUUGGGACCCGAAAGAUGGUGAACUAUGCCUGCAUAGGGUGAAGCCAGAGGAAACUCUGGUGGAGGCUCGUAGCGAUUCUGACGUGCAAAUCGAUCGUCAAAUGUGGGUAUAGGGGCGAAAGACUAAUCGAACCAU
RNAcentral lists this ribosomal RNA (896 nucleotides) under Thanatephorus cucumeris. RNAcentral's name for it is "eukaryotic LSU rRNA". It matches the Rfam family "Eukaryotic large subunit ribosomal RNA", at positions 37 to 943 of the family's 3401-position model. The record is from RNAcentral. Lineage: Eukaryota; Fungi; Basidiomycota; Agaricomycetes; Cantharellales; Ceratobasidiaceae.